RNAcentral lists this ribosomal RNA (504 nucleotides) under uncultured bacterium. RNAcentral's name for it is "bacterial SSU rRNA". It matches the Rfam family "Archaeal small subunit ribosomal RNA", at positions 86 to 604 of the family's 1478-position model. The record is from RNAcentral.
UAGCUCAGUACACGUGGAUAUCUGCCCUAUGGCGGAGGAUAACCCCGGGAAACUGGGGAUAAUACUCCAUAAGUCAGGAGUACUGGAAUGUCUCCUAACUGAAAGUUUCGGCGCCAUAGGAUGAAUCUGCGGCCGAUUAGGUAGUUGUUGGGGUAACGGCCCAACAAGCCCGUAAUCGGUACGGGUUGUGGGAGCAAGAGCCCGGAGAUGGAAUCUGAGACACGAUUCCAGGCCCUACGGGGCGCAGCAGGCGCGAAAACUUUACAAUGCAGGAAACUGUGAUAAGGGAACCCCGAGUGCCCGUACACGCGGGCUGUCCCGGUGUUUAAACACAUCGGAGAAAGGGCCGGGCAAGACCGGUGCCAGCCGCCGCGGUAAUACCGGCGGCUCGAGUGGUGACCACUUUUAUUGGCUUAAAGCGUUCGUAGCUUGAUUUUUAAGUCUCUUGGGAAUCUCACGGCUUACUGUGAGCGUCUAGAGAUACUGGGAAUCUAGGGACCGGGA